CGGCCCAUCCCUCCCCGGCCCGGCCCGGCCCGGCCCGGCCCAGAGAUCUGCUAACCAUGUGAAUGGAUUUUGGAGUAUGAUGUGAAGUGGUCAGGCUUCAGGAUGGACCAUGACCUUCCUAAAAGGAAAAAGAUGGAAAAUCAUCGCAGUGACCAUAAACUGUGCUGCCAACUGAAUAAGGGUUUCUUUGUAGCGUGUGCAGAGUCCAGGAAAAUGUUAUACCUGCAUUAUAUAAUCUGUCAACAACCUAGUUAGCUAUUGUCUUAAUCUAGGUUAUUCUUGAAAGCAGAGCUUGAAACAAAGGCAGACAUACUCCGUUUGGCAAUGUGAUCCAGGGAGCAGGGACGAGAGGGAGAGGAAUGACAGAGAGGGAAAAGGGAAAGAAAAUCCAAGCAAAACAAGGUAGUGUUAUCAAGUGUCCACCACUGUUAAUGGUUUCUUAGUGAUGAACCUUCUCAGGAGUCUUACUAGAGUUGGUCUCAGAACUGUCUGCCUGAGGGGUGACAGGGAGAAGCAUUUCUCUCAGCACCCAUCUCUUACGUAUUGAGAACCGUGCCCAUUGGUGUUAGCUCCCCCAUCCCUACAGCCAGGAGAGCCUCACUGGGACCAGAGCCCCACACAUGGCCCAUCAGAGAGGCCUUGGGACAGGAAGCCAGGUUCUUGGUGCGUGCCCAAAGUGAAGUGCCGUCAGCACAGCAGGGGGAGACCUGCCCAGAACUGUUCACCAGAGCGGUGGCUGCAACUGGAGACUGAAGGCACGUGAGACAGUGCGCAAGAGGCAUCUUAUAAGCCUACAGAAUGUGCUGUUAGCUGUGUCCAAACCCGUUUCCUCCCUUCUUUCUAGAAUCAGAAUCUCAGUGUCCAGAACAAGAUUGGCAGAACAGUUCACUGGGAAGGUUAAAUGUAUUAGAAUAUGUACAUAAAUAACAGUUUUCACCUUGAGGGGUGUUUAUAAGAAAUAGAACAUGAACAUGAAAACCUGGAAAAAAAUUUUUUUAAAUUCUACUUGAAAAAUUGCAGUAUUGGAUAGAGAUAUUAGAUAUCUUCUAAACCCAUGUAAUCUAAGAAAAUGAGCACAUGUUGUUUGGAGAAAUAAAACUAAACUUUUGUUGUGUCUCUAUGGGCUUUAUAAAUCAAUGUCAUUAACUUUUCUAAGAUACUGUUUUCUACCGUCACAGCACUAGCAAUACAGAGCUUACAACCAAUGACAGGAAAAAUGGUA
Molossus molossus (Pallas's mastiff bat) is the source of this 1222-nucleotide long non-coding RNA. RefSeq lists it as uncharacterized. NCBI's taxonomy places the organism in Eukaryota, Metazoa, Chordata, Mammalia, Chiroptera, Molossidae. The record is from RefSeq and is a predicted model, not a curated record. The transcript has 3 exons.